UACGUAGGGCGCAAGCGUUGUCCGGAAUUAUUGGGCGUAAAGAGCUCGUAGGCGGCCUGUCGCGUCUGCUGUGAAAACUCAGGGCUUAACCCUGAGCUUGCAGUGGGUACGGGCAGACUAGAGUGCGGUAGGGGAGACUGGAAUUCCUGGUGUAGCGGUGAAAUGCGCAGAUAUCAGGAGGAACACCGGUGGCGAAGGCGGGUCUCUGGGCCGUAACUGACGCUGAGGAGCGAAAGCAUGGGGAGCGAACAGG
This 253-nucleotide ribosomal RNA is filed under the name uncultured bacterium. RNAcentral's name for it is "partial 16S ribosomal RNA". It matches the Rfam family "Bacterial small subunit ribosomal RNA", at positions 524 to 776 of the family's 1533-position model. The record is from RNAcentral.